CCUACGGGUGGCAGCAGUAGGGAAUCUUCCACAAUGGGCGAAAGCCUGAUGGAGCAACGCCGCGUGGGUGAAGAAGGUCUUCGGAUCGUAAAACCCUGUUGUUAGAGAAGAAAGUGCGUGAGAGUAACUGUUCACGUUUCGACGGUAUCUAACCAGAAAGCCACGGCUAACUACGUGCCAGCAGCCGCGGUAAUACGUAGGUGGCAAGCGUUAUCCGGAUUGAUUGGGCGUAAAGGGAACGCAGGCGGUCUUUUAAGUCUGAUGUGAAAGCCUUCGGCUUAACCUGAGUAGUGCAUUGGAAACUGGGAGACUUGAGUGCAGAAGAGGAGAGUGGAAUUCCAUGUGUAGCGGUGGAAUGCGUAGAUAUAUGGAAGAACACCAGUGGCGAAGGCGGCUCUCUGGUCUGUAACUGACGCUGAGGUUCGAAAGCGUGGGUAGCAAACAGGAUUAGAUACCCGGGUAGUC
RNAcentral lists this ribosomal RNA (465 nucleotides) under uncultured bacterium. RNAcentral describes it as "partial 16S ribosomal RNA". It matches the Rfam family "Bacterial small subunit ribosomal RNA", at positions 338 to 795 of the family's 1533-position model. The record is from RNAcentral.